RNAcentral lists this long non-coding RNA (453 nucleotides) under Homo sapiens (human). RNAcentral's name for it is "HSALNT0087649". The record is from RNAcentral. Lineage: Eukaryota; Metazoa; Chordata; Mammalia; Primates; Hominidae.
CUUAUAUUUGGAAAGAAAACUACCUGGGAAAAUACUUUCUACCCUGCCAUAAACCCUGGACACUUAGGAGAAAGAUGGAAGACACUGGGAUCAAAGCAAAUCGAGGAAAAAAUUCAAGUGAAGAGACUGGAAAUUAAGAGAGUCCAUACUGGAUGAUUUUUCAGUAAAGAAUUGCGCAAUACAAAGGGUGAGGUGAGUUAAUUUGUUUAUUUUAUUUGAAAAAAGAAGAAAAGAAUUUGAGGCAGUUUAUUUCAAUAAUUGAUUGGGAGGCAAUUUUAGGUAAAUUUAAUAUCUAGCAAAAUAGAAUAGAUGUAGUUGAAAUCAAAACUACAUUUUUAUGCUUCAGUGAGUCAUGCUAAAUGCCAUAUAAAACACUAUUCAGUGGAUGGCGUGGCAUGUCUCUGACUGUGUGGGGAACAAGGCAAUUAUGCUUAUUGAUCAAAAUAAAAAACA